AUUGAACGCUGGCGGCGUGCCUAACACAUGCAAGUCGAGCGGUAACAGGUGUAGCAAUACAUGCUGACGAGCGGCGAACGGGUGAGUAAUGCUUCGGAAUCUACCCAAUGGUGGGGAAUAACCAGCCGAAAGGUUGGCUAAUACCGCAUACGUCCCACGGGAGAAAGCAGGGGAUCGCAAGACCUUGCGCCAAUGGAUGAGCCGAAGUCGGAUUAGCUAGUUGGAGGGUAACGGCCUACCAAGGCGACGAUCCGUAGCUGGUCUGAGAGGACGACCAGCCACACUGGGACUGAGACACGGCCCAGACUCCUACGGGAGGCAGCAGUGGGGAAUAUUGGACAAUGGGGGAAACCCUGAUCCAGCGACGCCGCGUGUGUGAAGAAGGCCUGCGGGUUGUAAAGCACUUUUAGUGGGGAUGAAAUGUUCAGGGUUAACACCUCUGGAUUUUGACCUAACCCACAGAAAAGCACCGGCUAACUCUGUGCCAGCAGCCG
RNAcentral lists this ribosomal RNA (494 nucleotides) under uncultured bacterium. RNAcentral's name for it is "bacterial SSU rRNA". It matches the Rfam family "Bacterial small subunit ribosomal RNA", at positions 30 to 517 of the family's 1533-position model. The record is from RNAcentral.